This is a long non-coding RNA of Pygocentrus nattereri (red-bellied piranha), 5248 nucleotides long. RefSeq lists it as uncharacterized. The transcript is spliced from 10 exons. The record is from RefSeq and is a predicted model, not a curated record. Lineage: Eukaryota; Metazoa; Chordata; Actinopteri; Characiformes; Serrasalmidae.
AAAAAAAAAAAAAUCCAAUCAAAAAUUAAUUCAACCUGUCUACAAACGAGUCACAGCCACUGGUCACAGCGCUUCUGUGCUCAGAGAAGUUACCCAGUUACCACACCCUAUUCAGCCAAUCCAUCGGUUGCAUAUUAUACAGUAAUCUCGUUGAGCCAAUCAGAAUAUAGAUCGCUCUGUUGUUUGGCAGAUCUAGUCAAAGAGGGAGGACUUUCAGCCAGAGUGUCAGGCGCGAAGAACUGUCCGAUUCGAUUCUAACUAACACACGUCGGUGAACAACUGAAGGAGAAUGGCACCACUGGAGGCUGACAAUGUUUUAAAUGUUCGUUCAGUCAGAGACUUUUUGGGGUAUUUAUAGGGUCUUUCUGGGUAUUAUAGGGUAGAAUAACUUUGGUUUAGUCACCUUAGAGCUGUCAUGAACUUGGAUACGUUUUUAAUCAUUUGUUGUUUAUUUAGAAUGUUAGGGAAGAAACAGAAGAGCCUUAUUUCCUUCUGGGAAAAGGCUCAGAAACCAAAGGCAAGGAAGGCAGAUAAUGUGACGAUGGAAGAGACUGAAAUGGCUACUACAUCAGGGGAGAUAACAGAGAAGACUUUGGAUAUAGUGAAAGAGAGGGAAGAGGAGACUAUGGAAGAAGAAGAAAGGGUAGAGGUGAAUGCAGCAGAAGGUGGAGGGCGCAAGUGAAGAUGAUGGUGCUGAGGUCAGGGUAGUGGCUAAAAAAAGGCACUUAGCUGGGGCUGCCACUUACAGAUGCACCUUUAAAAGUGAAUGGACUGUAAAAUGGCCAUUCAUAACUGUAGGCACCACCAACUCCUACUACUGGUGCUCUGUCUGCAGACAGGAAAAUUCCUGUUGCCAUCAAGGCAUAGCAGAUGUGCAGCGACACAUUAAAAGUAAAUCACACCUGUCUAAAGAGCAGGCACUGCAGUCCACCAGUAGGAUUGGACAGUUUUAUACUCCAGUUGGUGUUGGUGGCAUGACUACACAAGAGUCCAAGGUAUCAAUGUUUUUCCAUCAUGUCUGAUUAUAACAAAAUAUUAUCAUAUAUUUAAAUUCAUUGUGAACAAUUACCUGGUUACCAUUCUUUUCUGUUUAAGACAAGGAGAGCUGAGGUGAGUGGCUGUGGCCAUGGUACAGCAUUGUAGCUGACGCUCGCAAUACAGCAAUGUGUUACUGUGGCAAAGCCAGAAGUUUAUGAGAUCAUAUUUGAUUUCUGAUUGGUUUUUUUUAUGUUGCAUAAAUUAAUGAUGAAAUCCGUAAUGCAAAUCGUUGAAGCUGUAGACCUUAUUGAAAUAUUAAGUUUAAUUUGUUUUAUUAAUUUGUGGAGAGACGUCAUUUCCUGUCUGGGUAACGUGCGCGGGAAAUUGUGAGUGGAAGCUAAGCGAAAGAGAAAAGAGACGAGAGAAAGAGACAAGGAAAAGAUGAGAUGACUGUCUACUACUGGCUAAAUAGGCGCACACGGUAACUAUUGUAAAUAUUGAAAAUUGUGUACCUUUGUAGAAGAAAUUUUUCUAAAAAUGAUGUAUAUGCAAUGUGUUUUUGUUGUUGUCAGAUUUCACGGUGUUCCGUAACUUGGUGAAGAAAAUAAAAUGGUAGUGGACACCAGUAAGAGGCGUGAAUCUUAUUACCAGAGUAGAUACAAGCAUAAUGUGCCAUUUGCGGUCGUGGAUCAUUUGAGUCCUUUGUUGAGAAAUUGCUUUAUUGACUCCCCCACCGCACAACAAUAUAAGUGUGCCAGCACCAAAACCACAUGCAUAAUAAAUAAAGCUGUGGCACCCCACUUCAAAGAGGAGCUGGUCACCAAGAAGAAUAGCAAUCCCUUCACACUCAUAACAGAUGGCUCCAAUGAUACAGGUGUUAUAUUGACAGCCAAUUUAGAUAUCCUCUUUUUUCAGUGUACAUUGUUUACAUGUCAGUGGUGCAUGUAUGUUAUUUGUCUAAUGUAAUGUUUAAACAUUUAGGACAUGAGAAAAUGAACCCCCUCACUGUCAGGGUGUUUGAUGGCCAGGCUGUUGUCCACAGGUUUUUGGAUAUGUGCACAACAAGUGGGCAGCGCUGUGGUACUGCCGAGGCCAUUUUCCAAAAAAUAAAUGCUGUCCUAGAAAAAAAAACAACAUUCCUUGGAGCAACUGUGUUGCCUUGUCCAUUGAUAAUGCCCCAGUCAAUACGGGGGCAAGAAACUCGAUUGCCUCCAGGAUACUGGCAGAGAAUCCCAGCGUAUACAUCCACGGGUGCCCAUGUCAUAUCCUGCACAACACAGCCAAACAUGCUGGGCAGGGUUUCAUGGAAGUGACUGGAUUUGACCCUGAAGACUUGGCUAUUGAUGUGGGGCACUGAUUUAGAGGCAGAACAUAUCGCAAAGGCUACCUCACAGAAUUCUGUGACUUACAUGAGUCCGAAUACAUGGAGAUAUUAUCACACAUCGCCAUCCGUUGGCUGAGCCUGGAGCGGUGCUUGAAUCGUGUUCUGAAGCAAUACAAGCCACUCUGCAGCUAUUUCCAGUCAGCAAAUGAGAAACAGCCACGGUUCAUAAGGCUUGCGGGUGCCUUCUCUGACCCAAUGACUGUGUACCUCCUCUUCUAUCAGGCAACAUUGCCAACCUUCACCUCCCUUAAUUUGCUACUUCAGAGGGAGAAGCCAUCUGUUUUCCUUCUCUAUGAAGAGGCAACUCACUGGGAGAUAACCUGCUCUUAGAGCUGUCCGUUGCCAUCACUGAGAAGAACAUUUAAAUCUACUUGAAGUUUCAUGCAAUGAUUUCACGGAACUGCAGAGUUCAACUGAUUCCUGGGCAGAAGAUUCACAAACAGUAUGUAGGUGGAAAAAGCCGAUAUGGAGAAUCUACAGACAACUGACACAGACGAGCCACAAGGCCCACAUUUGGUGCUGUAUCAUAGUUCCGAUGUUACAGCUUCUGUCCGGAAGGGGUCUGUGUUUUUUCGUUCCCGGUUAUCUCUUCGACAGCACUUAGAGUUCAUCUACAGAUUUUCUCAGGGACUGAGACUGAGACAGAUGGAUCUUCUUGAGGAUGGAGUUGCAGGCAGUAGCAGAACUCUCACCAAGAUGACAUCCACAUUGAGAAAAUAUAACCGGGGACGUGUAGGUGCUGCCUGGCGACGGAGCAAGAAGUGGGUACUCGCAAUUCUGGAAGUGAGUGCUACCACCCGGAAGCCCAUACUGAAAAUUGUCUCCAGCAGGUCAAGUGAGCAGCUGCUACCUAUUGUGAGACGCUAUGUGAGAAGAGGAACCAGUAUUAUAACUGAUAAGUGGCGAGCAUAUAGAGGUCUGUCAGAUUUCAGCUAUGAUCACCAUAUAGUUUGCCACAAGAGACAUUUUGUGCAUCCACUUACCAGGGCCCACACCCAGCACCUGGAGCGGGCAUGGCAAAAAUUCAAGGUUGAUGUGUGGAGACACCGAGUAAACCGAAACACAAAACUUCUGAAAGAAUACCUAAAGAUUAUAGAGUGGGAACACUGGUUGGCCAAAAAGCACAAAUGGGGCAUACUUGGAAGACUGCUCCAUGACAUUAGAAAACUGUAUAAAUGUCAAUGUUAAUUAAGUAGUUUUGAUCAGCAUUCUGAAUUUUGUGGCCCUGAACAACUGAUGUCUGUCUAGCUUUUUUACCGAUAAAAUACAAUGUAGAGAAACUGUCUAUUCAGAUGUAUUGAAAUUGGCAUGUAGUAUGUUUUUUGAAGUUGUUUUAGAGGCAAAUUGUCCUAAAUUAUCAAACUUCAUUAGAUUUUUUUACAUUCAAAAUGUAUUUAAAUUUGUCAAAAUGUUUAUGUCAAAUGUAUCUUAGAAUAACUAUUGAAAAUAUAACUUACGUGUUUAUGCAUACAUGUUUUUAUUAACUAUGGGUUUAUUUAUUGUCAAAUGUACAUGUUCAAACAUACAAACUUGUGCUUCUUGUACUCUUCUUUAUAUGUUGUUAUAAGUUCAUAUAGAGCUGAUCAGUAACAUCACUUUACCUACAAUCUGUAAGGAGCACUUAUAAAUGUUCAUUAAUUGUUAUGUGCACUUAUAAAGUCAUUUUUAUUUUAAAGAUACUGAAGAGCAUUAGAGUACGCCAGUGAGAAUGGGGUUCUCACUGUGAAUCUUUAUAAAGCAUUAUGAGAAUAAACAAAGCAGUUGUUAUAAAAAUUUAUGAUGCUGGUCUCACCAAUAUUCCAGAGAACAGGAACAUGUAUAUAUUAUAGGGCAUUACAGCAUUAUAGUGCUAUAAAGCCUUAUAAUGUGCUCUUAUAGCAUGUUAUGUGUGUAAUUAUAAACACUUAUGUACAGUUACAAAUGCUUAUGUCAAACAUUAUAAAGCCUUAUGAAUGCUUUAUAGAUGUUUAUAAAUGCACUUAUAAUGCAUUAUAGAUGCCGGAUUCAUAGAAAGUGUUACCCAAAGUAUUCAGAGAAACAGAUGGACAACGGUCUGUAAUAUAAAGUGCACCUAUAUAAAUGGACUGGAUAAAAUGAGUAAAUAGUGUAGAUAUAAGAAGGUGUACUUAAUGAUAUGGCUGGUUUGUGUAUAUGACAGGUGUUUCUGAUAAACUGGCGAAUGAGUUUACACGCAAAGUAGACGUACUUAAUAAACUGACCUUUAUCCUUACGUCUUUAUGCUGUAUAACUACUUAUGCCAGACCCCUCCCAUGGCCAGAUGAAAUGUUCAGUAAUUAGAAGGUUGUCAACUGUUGGCAAAUGUACAGGUGUCUGUUGAAUCAGCUUCUCAAUUGCAGAGGAUAAUGCAGUCUUUUCCUCAGCAGAUUUUUUGGGAUGGUGCCAUCAAGACAAAAUUAGGAUAAUGUCAUUGAUAUCAGAAUAUUAUUUUUCAAACAAGAGGAUAACAUAAACCAUGUCUGAAAAACUGGUACCCAGUCAGAGAAAGGCACAGGCUCUGUUCAUUCAGACAUGGCUUGCCACUUGUAUGAUGGUAAAGGUUGUGUUUCCUGUGUUUGAUACUGCGGAACAGUCCCUCUAUUUUACUCUGCAGAGGUUUCACAUCAGCUGGCUUGUCAGGAUUAGAACUACAUAUAACUGAACAGAAUAAAAAACAAUUAGGAGAAAAAAUACAAUUAUACACUAAUAAAAAUAAACAAACAUGUUAGAAUAAAAGCCCAACAACUAACUUUACUAUGAGAGGUAAAUCCAGAAUCCAUAAAAUAAAUAAAAAUGAAAACAAUAAAAUGCAAAUGCAAACCUCUCUUUGCCAUUUCUUCAGAUCUGCAGACAUUGUCAUAUCUAAAAUGAAAAAGCUAAUAAAGAAAA